GUUUCCGGCAUCGUUACUUUGAAGAAAUUAGAGUGCUCAAAGCAAGCCAUCGCUCUGGAUACAUUAGCAUGGAUAACAUCAUAGGAUUCCGGUCCUAUUGUGUUGGCCUUCGGGAUCGGAGUAAUGAUUAAUAGGGACAUUCGGGGGCAUUCAUAUUUCAUAGUCAGAGGCAUGUGUGCUGAGAAUUUGAAGAUCACGACUGUUGCAUGGACAAAUGAGCACACACACACAAACAUCCAGACACUGUCCAAC
RNAcentral lists this ribosomal RNA (252 nucleotides) under Triticum dicoccoides. RNAcentral's name for it is "rRNA SSU_rRNA_eukarya". It matches the Rfam family "Eukaryotic small subunit ribosomal RNA", at positions 739 to 922 of the family's 1831-position model. The record is from RNAcentral. Lineage: Eukaryota; Viridiplantae; Streptophyta; Magnoliopsida; Poales; Poaceae.